RNAcentral lists this ribosomal RNA (492 nucleotides) under uncultured bacterium. Its description in RNAcentral is "partial 16S ribosomal RNA". It matches the Rfam family "Bacterial small subunit ribosomal RNA", at positions 29 to 507 of the family's 1533-position model. The record is from RNAcentral.
AGUGAACGCUGGCGGUAGGCCUAACACAUGCAAGUCGAACGGCAGCACAGUAAGAGCUUGCUCUUACGGGUGGCGAGUGGCGGACGGGUGAGGAAUACAUCGGAAUCUACUUUUUCGUGGGGGAUAACGUAGGGAAACUUACGCUAAUACCUCAUACGACCUACGGGUGAAAGCAGGGGAUCUUCGGACCUUGCUCGAUUGAAUGAGCCGAUGUCGGAUUAGCUAGUUGGCGGGGUAAAGGCCCACCAAGGCGACGAUCCGUAGCUGGUCUGAGAGGAUGAUCAGCCACACUGGAACUGAGACACGGUCCAGACUACUACGGGAGGCAGCAGUGGGGAAUAUUGGACAAUGGGCGCAAGCAUGAUCCAGCCAUACCGCGUGGGUGAAGAAGGCCUUCGGGUUGUAAAGCCCUUUUGUUGGGAAAGAAAAGCAGCAGGUUAAUACCCCGCUGUUCUGACGGUACCAAAAGAAUAAGCACCGGCUAACUUCGUG